RNAcentral lists this unclassified non-coding RNA (269 nucleotides) under Hevea brasiliensis (rubber tree). The record is from RNAcentral. Lineage: Eukaryota; Viridiplantae; Streptophyta; Magnoliopsida; Malpighiales; Euphorbiaceae.
UCACCAAAUGAACCUAGCUGUAAAAGCAGUAAGGUUGGAGGUUUUACUGAUGAAGGUGCUGCUUUCAAUUCACUUGGUGAUGACAAUGGGGAUAGUAGUCAACGAAUUGCAAAUGAGUUGGUUGUAUCAUCAAUCCCAUCAGUUAUGACAAGUGAAUGUCUACAGAGCAAAGCUCCUGAUUGUUCAUCUCCAAAAAAGUUAAGAAGGAAGCUUUUGAAGUGUAGGAUGCCAAAUAUGUAUCUUGGCCCAAAAUUAUUCAGAAUCAGAGC